AUGCUUGCUUCGUCAGCACAUAACUAAAACUGGAACAAUACAGAGAUACAGAUAUGGCCCCUGAACAAGAAUGACACGCAAAUUCAUGAAGCGUUCCAUAUAAUU
Molecule: small nuclear RNA, 105 nt
Organism: Gorilla gorilla gorilla (western lowland gorilla)
Lineage: Eukaryota; Metazoa; Chordata; Mammalia; Primates; Hominidae
Source: Ensembl